RNAcentral lists this unclassified non-coding RNA (345 nucleotides) under soil metagenome. Its description in RNAcentral is "partial contains 5.8S ribosomal RNA, internal transcribed spacer 2, and large subunit ribosomal RNA". The stretch from base 1 to 120 matches the Rfam family "5.8S ribosomal RNA", at positions 35 to 154 of the family's 154-position model. The record is from RNAcentral.
GAUGAAGAACGUAGCGAAAUGCGAUAAGUAGUGUGAAUUGCAGAAUUCAGUGAAUCAUCGAGUCUUUGAACGCACAUUGCGCCCCCUGGUAUUCCGGGGGGCAUGCCUGUCCGAGCGUCAAUGCUGCCCUCAAGCACGGCUUGUGUGUUGGGCCUCCGUCCUCCUCCCGGGGGACGGGCCCGAAAGGCAGCGGCGGCACCGCGUCCGGUCCUCGAGCGUAUGGGGCUUCGUCACCCGCUCUUGUAGGCCCGGCCGGCGCUUGCCGACACAUCAAUCUUUUUUCCAGGUUGACCUCGGAUCAGGUAGGGAUACCCGCUGAACUUAAGCAUAUCAAUAAGCGGAGGA